Sebastes umbrosus (honeycomb rockfish) is the source of this 1421-nucleotide long non-coding RNA. RefSeq lists it as uncharacterized. The record is from RefSeq and is a predicted model, not a curated record. Lineage: Eukaryota; Metazoa; Chordata; Actinopteri; Perciformes; Sebastidae. The transcript has 2 exons.
ACACCCCCCCUUUUAGUGUCUCUCUUUCAGGUCAAAGUGAAGUAGCAGCUCCUUAUUUGGAAGUUGACGUAAGCUUGUGUUUCUUUUGGCAGCAGUCUCGGGCUGCACAGCUGGCAAAGCGGUGAGAGGUAGAGGGGCAGGGUGAGUGGUUGGUGUUUUAAUUUGACCGGAGAAAAGGAGGUGGAGGGGGGGGGUUUACUUCAUAUUUUUAAAACACAGUUUCCCCAUUCAGGUCUCACUUUCCAGCAUAGGUGGAGAGAGCUAUUGCUGCUGAGGAAAAACCCUGGAAAAUUUGAAAACAUAUAAGGACCCGCGUGGAAAAAAAAAAAAAAAGGCACAGCUAGGGAUCUCUGGAGAAUGUCCACACACCACAGCGCGGCGUUCAUGCUCCUGCCAGGGGUCCGGCUGAAACGAGUCCAGGCAGCUCUGACAUCACUCCCCGCUCUUUCAUGCCACGGGUUUCCCCCCCGCCCCCCAGGCUGAAAAGCUUGCAGACGUGUGGAGCACUGAGGGAAUACCAGCCGGUGGCAUGAAGGCAGGCGGUCAGCCGCUCAUCUGGAAAAGGGGAAGCUGAGAGGGGAAUGGAAGAGAGCCCAGGGUGUCCAUCCUGCACCCGGCAACAGAGAGUCCUUGUCUUAAAGAUUAAGUUAAGUAAAGUCUCCGCUUAAACUUCUGAUUGACGCCUGACUGACUGCUGAGGGACGAUCCUCCAUUGACUUGGAGGCGGAUGACAGUGACUGGUCAAUAUCUGAUUUUAUCUAAAAAGGCCAAUAUUGGCAAACGCAUAUAUUGGUCCGACUCUGGUUGGUUUGCGGCGGAGUGUCAGCAUCCAAGCCUAGGACGGUGCUGGCUCCAUCCUGCAGUGCCACAGAGGGAGUUUCUGGGCAUCGUGCCACCUGUCAGAGGAGAGAGAACACAGGCAGUGUCCUCCUCAGCAUCCCAGCUGUCCAGGGCUUCACGUAUGGCCCUUAAACAGCAGAAUCUGUCACUGCCUCCUACUGUACAGGUUGUUCUUUACCGAGUCAGCCUGUAAUGCUUAAUGACCUCUGAAAUGCAUUAUCACUGUUGAAAACAGCAUGUUUGAUGUAGAAUACGUCUGUGGGAGUGCAUUAGGGCUGGGACGAUACACAUAUCUCCCGAUUCGAGACUAUCGCGAUACUUGGGUGCUGAUUCGAUAUGUAUUGCGAUUUUUAAGUAUUGUGAUUCUACAAGUAUUGUGAAUCGUUAUUAUGAUUUAUUGCGAUGAUUUUUGUUAACUUCUUCAACACUAGACCAUGGGUAAAAGUUGAAUCAUACACUUCUAGGGACUUUUAUUUUGAAAAAUAUCUUUAUUAAUACAUUAAAAUACUUGAUUUUCAGUAUGUAUGUAGACAGAGAUGUCCUUAAGUCAAAUAUAUCAGUCAUUGUCAGGAAUUAUUUAU